GAUGAACGCUGGCGGCGUCCCUAAUACAUGCAAGUCGAGCGGACAGACGAGGAGCUUGCUCCUCUGACGUUAGCGGCGGACGGGUGAGUAACACGUGUAUAACCUACCUAUAUUACUGGGAUAACUUCGGGAAAGCGGAGCUAAUAGCAGAGAAGAUAUUGAACCGCAGGGGGCGAUGGUGAGAGACGGUGUUUCGGGCUCGUAUAGAUGGAUCCGCGCCGUAUGAGAUAGUUGGGAAGGUAAAGGCUUACCAAGGCGACUAUGCGUAGACGAGGGGCGAGGGGGAUCGGCCACAUUGGAACGGGAACACCGUCCAGAGUACUACGAGACGCAGCAGUAGGGUACCGUCCGCAAUGGGCGAAAACAUUGCGCAGCAACGCCGAGUGAGUGACGAAGGCGCUCGGAUCGUAAAACUCUCUUACUAGGGAAGAACCAAUGUGUAAGUAGCUAUGCACGUCUUGACGGUACCUAAUCAGAAAGCCCCGGCUAACUACGUG
Molecule: ribosomal RNA, 497 nt
Filed under: uncultured bacterium
Lineage: Bacteria
Description: partial 16S ribosomal RNA
Rfam family: Bacterial small subunit ribosomal RNA
Source: RNAcentral